GGGGGGGGGAUUAGACCCAAUACUAGAACUGGUUUUGGGCCUAGGCAAAUGAUUUUUUUUUCUUUUUAAUACCUCGUUUGUAUUCUUGUCCUCUCUUCCUCUCUCUGUUUGGGUCAGUUUUUGCUUAAUUUUUAAGUGGGUUUGGUUUUUCUACUUCUAUGGGUCGGGGUUGCGGGUUGCCCAAUAAAAACCGAAGCAGUGAAACCCUAAUCUCUCUACCUCUCUCAUUCUCUCUCGCCAAACGCCAAAUGUGGAAGCCCUAAUGCCGUCGUCGACUCUAUUUUGAAUCAAAUCAUCCACGCCGAUCACCAUUUUCCUUAAAUAGUAUUUUCAAUCCAAAUAGCAUUUUCAGAGAUAGCUAAGGUAUGUAGGCAUUACUCUUUUCUUGAUGAGAUACUAAAAUUAAUUGCAAAAAGGUUUGGUACAAGGCAAUGUUGGAGUGCUAGUCAGCUCGCCAUGAAUUUGGGGUUGAUUUUACCAUUUUAUAGUUGACCUAAUUGCCCUUUUCUGAUGCCUUAGGUUUCUUUCAUUUUUUAUUUUUCUAUGAAAUUCCCUUGAGCAUCUAGGUGUUGAAGUUUUUUUCAUUUUGCAAGCACCUCAGAGGAGUCGACAAGAAUUGCUAAAGGAAGUGAAGGAAAAAAAGCUGCUUAUGUUUUAGUUGAAUCUGAUAAAGCCAAGUUGUCUGACAAGUAACAAUUUAGUGUUGGUUUUAUUUAUCACUUUUAAUUGUUUUGCCUUAGACUAUGACAUUUUCUUGCCUUAGAAUAAUGAGGAUGUGAAUCUGUUACUAGCAUUGUCCUUUAUUUAGUUGAAUACUACUUUUAUUUGGUACUCUAUUGAUAUCUCUUCUCGAUAUUAGUUUUUCCUGGCUAAUUAUGGGAAAAAAUGGUGGACAUGCUUGGGACAGAAUGAUAAUUUGUCUUUAUAAUAAUCAGUUAACUCACAACUUUAGUAUUUUGGAACAAGCUCCACCUACAAAAGUGAGGAUUUAAGUAGUGAAUGGAGAGAAAUAUUUCAAACUGAGAUUUUAGGUAAAGUUUGCUGGUGCUUUUGGUGUGGAUAUUUGGCGAACUGACCAACCCAACCCAACUCGAUCGAAACUUUGUUAGGUUAGGUUGGAACACUUUCACGGGUUGGGUUGGUUUGAUUUUAUAUCAAAUCGACCAUGUUUUGGUUGGGUUUGGCUUGGGAGAAAAAUCGACCCGACCCGACCCGACCCAACCCAUGCCCACCCCUACUACCUGGCUCUGCCCUACUAAUAUAAAAUCUAUUUUUUAUAUAAUAUGCAUUCACAUUUCAGUAUUCCUUCUCUUUUUUUGCAUCCAACAAUUUCUUAAGUGAAGUGGGCUGAAUUAGUUGAAGUUUCCAAAACCAUUAUUGCAAUUCUAACUAAAAUUCAGUAUCCAAUUUUCACUUUUGUAAAGAAACUACUUGGCUAGAUGAGUUUAGGCUGUAACUGGAAUUGGAGUUUUGUUAAUGUGGUUUAGCCGUUUGGAUUUUUAAUUUUUGUUAUUAACAUAUAUUACAGAAUGACAAUCAAAAAUGUCCAAAAAAACAAAACCAUUAUAGUAAUUAGUUGUACAGAAGAGGAAACGAGCGAGGGAGGAAGAAUUAGAAAACUACAGUAUUAUUAGCUCCAAAGAGCAAUAUGAAAAUUAUGUAAACUUUUUAUUGUCUAACCUUAUUUGUAUGGGAAAUUAACUAUGACAUAAAGUAUUGUGAAAGAGUCUUAUUUGUCUUAUGUUAACAACUUGAUUGGGGGAAGAACUAUGUUCAAUUUUUUUUUUUUUUUUUUAUUCCCUCUCUUCAGGUGCGAAAAAGUAAAAAAAAUGCUUGUUAUUUAUUAUAUUUAAUUAAAUAUAAAAUAUUCAAACAACACUAGAAAAAGAAAGGCUAUUUACAUUCCUUUUAUUUUUCAUUUGAAUUUUAAUUUCAUAUUCGGAAUAAAAAGUAAACUAUCGAUCUUCUUUAGCUCCGAUAGUGGGACUAUGUCACUAUGUGAACCCCCUCCUAAAUUUUUUGAAACAAGAAGGACUAAUGCGAUAACCUUAGAAAAGACACAAGAACUUAACAAGUUGAGGGACAAAUUUGCUUCAUAUGGCCUUAAAUUGACUUAUAUGUGCAAGAGAUGCAUAUUGAUGAUGGUUCAUGCAUCAAUCAAAUUUGUAAAGUACAUGAAAUUUGCACAAACAAUACUGCUUGGCAGAAUUCAAAUUGUCUUGAAAUUCUAAUUUCCUCUGUAAAAUUAAGUUCAAAGAUGAUAUAUAAACUCAUUUUGAAAUGAUUAUGAUAUAUUUGAGUAAUGUUUUCUUUACUUAUUUAUUUGGAAGGGAUUUUGUUUCAUCUACUAAUUCAUCAUAUCAUAUUAAGGCAUAUAUAAACAAAAUCUAAAGAAUUUUUCAAUAUUAAGGCAUAUAUAAACAAAAUCUAAAGAAUUUUUCAUUCUAUCAGAUUCAAAUUGUGAAACUAACAAAUUUCAGAUAUGGCAAGGAAAAAAAAAGGCUAUUAUGGAAGAUUUAUUAAAUGGUAAUUACAGAAAACAUGUUGGUCAUUGUAUUUUCAGACAAUUUUCCUCCUCAGUAGACUAUAUUUGUAGAGACAACAAGAAUAAUGUAGUAUAAUAGAAAGUUUUUGUGUUGCUAAUGUUUUGUUGCUGAGAACAUUCUUCAUAUGGUGCUUGCUUCUUUCUUAUUUUCCGUAUAUAAAUGAGUACUUUUUCUGUGAACUAUUUAGGACAAAAGAUGGUACUUUUCUGAUGCUCUUGCUUGUUAAUUUGGGAGUUCUUAUUGUAUUUCCUUCUAUUUUGUUUCUCCUCGAACAUAUUUUAGACACAAAAAUAAUUGUAGUUAUGUGGAGUCAUAAAACUAGUCCACUGAAGGAUCAGAACUCUUACCGCCUAAUUAUGUUGUUUUAGAUAAUAUGUUUCUGUUAUAAACAAUAAUAAUUAUUUUCCUACUGAUGUGUGUUAUGUGACUUUUCAGUUAUAACCAAUUUUUCUUACUGCUAUGGCUUGUUUAUGAAAUAAUUACAAGUAUAUAAGUAUGAGAAACAGAAAGAAUAGAAAACUUAUUUUUCCAGGUACAUAAUUCGUCAUCUGGAUUGAAAACAAACUACCAUGUGUACAUGAGUGAUUGAUAGAGAUGAUUUGCUAUGCCUCAUAUGGAUCAUUCAUUAUUUAAAGUUAUUUUAUCAAUAUGGUUGAUGAGUGAGGUUUAAGGAACUCGAAAGUACUUAUCAAAUGUUCCCUUUAUUUUAUGUUAUGAACUUUAAAGUUUUUCUUUUUUCUCUUUUAAUUGUCAAUUACAUGUUAUUUAUAUAUUUUUAUGUUUUCUUUAUUUAUGGUUUUGUAAUGUAAAAUGAAUUAGUGGGGAAAUAAAUAUGAGAGUACUGUAUGUACAUUUGUUAAGUUAUUAAUACAUUAUGCUUUAAAAUCUCUUUGAGGUUUAUGUUAAUAUGCUGAACAAAUAUUUUAUUUACACUUUACAAUAAAAAUUAUUUCACUUAGCUUUCGAGUCAAUACUCAUUCAUUGUCAUCUAAGGUUGUUGCGUGAUAUGCUAUCUAUGAUUUUCUAAGUCAAAACCUGAAUACGUGGGAUUUUUUUUCUGCAGUUAGUGUUAAUGAAGUGAAGUUUAAACAUUAGCAAUUCUGUAACUGACGAUGGGUUAAUAAAUAAGGUAAUUUGCUUUCAACAUUUAUGAAAUCAUCCUUUGUACUUUAAAUAUAUCGUGAUUACACACAUCCUCUGGUUUUUUCACCUUGUUUCGUAUUUGACUCUUUAUCAUUAUGGAGUUUGAGUAAUCAUUUUAUUUUAUUUAGUAAAAAUAAUUGACAACAACUUUGCAAAGUGUAAAGACAAGGAUGAUCGAAAUCUGUUUUAUAAAUAACAUCAUCAUAUUCAAUAUUUUUAGUAUAGAACUUUCUUCCACUCUGAAAAUCAUAACAGCUAUGCAUUGUUUGUGGUUAAAACUCAUAACUUUUUGUAAUUUCCAAGUCUUCUUAAUUAUAAUUUCCAAGUCUUCUGGUUGCAUUGAUUUUUGUUGAUUAUCUGAUGCCAAAACUAGAUUUCCCGACAGUUCAUCUAUCGAUAGUUGUUGCUCAACUGUCGUUCCCGACAGUUAGCCUCAGUAAUUCUCGACAGAUAAAAAUGUCGGGAUCGACAGUUCAGUUCCUGCUUGCCUAGCCCUGCCUACCAGUAGAAAAUGAUAUUUCUAUGUAAUAUGCGUUCAGAUAUGAGUAUUCAUUUUAUUUUUUGCAUGCAACAAUUUCUGAAGUUCAGUGGACUGAAUUAGGGCUAUUUUAUUGAAGUAAUAUGGUUGGCACUCAUAUGCAUUUGGUGGAAAUCAUGUUUGAUGUGGGCAUAUCUUCCGUUUCAAUAUUUCUGUUACUUGUGUCAUAACCUUGCUUUCACUUGCACACAUUGAGCUUGUGGGCGGCACUCGUUGCAUUUGGGAGGAACUGUUGAAAGACACUUCACAACAUACUUGUGAUUUUUGGUCCUAUGCUGGUAGGAAGUUUAUAUUGUAGUGUGACGCAUUUAUUUCCUAUUUUGUUUCUGUAGACAUGGAUUUGAGCCUCUUGUUCCAGAGAAUGCACGCUUGCGGGGCCACGUAUCGCAGAGAAGCAAUCUGCGAUAUAUAAAAACAGUUGUCGAAUAUUUUGACGAGCGACAGCGGGCAGACUUUCGCAACUCAUGCCUUGGGUUCUUGUCCGAGGUUCCGGAUCUCCAAUUCUCUGCCCAAUUAAUCCAACAACUCGUAUUCUGCUGCAUACAAACAAAUAAGCGGCACGAACUGUGGUUUAAUUUGCAAGGCCACCUCGUCAGGUUCGGAAUUCAAGAAUAUGCCCUGGUCACAGGAUUAAGGUAUGGUCUUCUCCCGGAUGACAAUGUCGUGGACCGAGUUCUUGACAAGAGGAGACUAAAGGACAAAUACUUUAAACAUGUUGACAAGAUUUUAUGGUAUGGAUGAAUUUGGUCACGUUCUCUGGAUACGUGCAGAAACUGCAUCUCCAUAAUAGGCAAUCGCAGUAGUGUAGGUUUUCAAGCCGCUGUUGUUACCAACUGCCGAGAAUUACAGAGACUAUCUGUCGGAAACGACAUAUGAACUGUCGAGACGUAAUGUUGGUGUUUUGUUUGUUCACUAUGGUCUCAUGAAAAUCAAUUUUUCAUUUCGACAAACUGUCAGUCGAAGCUAAUGAAACUUCUAUGAUCGGCUAAGUUUAUAUUAAGAAAAAGGUAUUCAUCUCGUUUGUGAUAAUGGAACUGUAAUGAUCGGUACUUUGCUUGUGGAACAUAACGACCAAAUUUGAUUUGACG
Molecule: long non-coding RNA, 5315 nt
Filed under: Olea europaea subsp. europaea
Lineage: Eukaryota; Viridiplantae; Streptophyta; Magnoliopsida; Lamiales; Oleaceae
Source: RNAcentral